AAAAAAAAAAAUUAAUUUUUUUUUCGAAUUAUAAUAUUUUGAAAUUUAAACUCUAAACCUUAAACCCUAAAACUCAACUCUAAACCCUAAACCAUCAAUCAUAAACCUUUUUUUUUUAAAUACAAACCCUAAACCCUAAACCAUCAAUCCUAAACCCUAUUUUUUUUUUAAAAUACGAACCCUAAACCCUGAAACAUCAACUCUAAACCCUAAACCCCGAAAUAUCAACCCUAAACCCUAAACUUUCAACUCUAAACCUUAAAACAUCAACUCUAAACCUAAACCCUAAACUUCAACUCUAAACCCUAAACCAUCAUACUAAACCCUAAACUAUCAACAUUAAACCCUAAACCCUCUAAACCCUAAAAAUUAACCCAAAACCCUAAAACAUCAACUCUAAACCCUAAACCCUAAACCUUCAACUCUAAACCCUAAACUCUAAACCCUAAAUCCUAAACCCUAAACUCUAAACCCUAAAACCCUAGAGUUGAUGUUUUAGGGUUUAGAUUUGAAGGUUUAGGGUUUUAGGGUUUAGGGUUUACGUUUAGGAUUUAGAGUUGAUGUUUUAGGGUUUAGAUAUGAAGGUUUAGGGUUUUGGGGUUCGAAUUUCAAAAAAUAUAGGGUUUAGGGUUUACGUUUAGGGUUUAGAGUUGAUGUUUUAGGGUUUAGAUUUGAAGAUUUAGAUUUUAGGGUUUAGAGUUGAUGUUUCGGGGUUUACGCUUUAGACUUGAUGUUUCAUGGUUUAGGGUUUAGAGUUGAUGAUUUAGGGUUUAGAGUUGAUGAUUUAUGGUUUAAAGUUGAUGUUUUAAGUUUAGAUUUAGGGUUUAAGGUUUAUGUUUAGGAUUUAGAGUUGAUGUUUUAGGGUUUAGAUUUAAAGGUUUAGGGUUUAGAGUUUAGGGUUUAGAGUUGAUGUUUCAGGGUUUAGGGUUGAUGUUUCAGGGUUUAGGGUUGAUGUUUGAUGUUUUAGGGUUUAGAGUUGAUGAUUUAGGGUUUAGAGAAGAUGUUUUAAGUUUAGAUUAGUUAACAAUAUGUUUUUUUGUCAAAGUUAAUCAAAAGGUUAUAAAUGUCUUUUACUCUUCAUUAAAGAUGAUGGUAAAAGUGGUUUGUUUAGUUAACAAUAUGUUUUUUUUUUGUCAAAGUUAAUCAAAAGGUUAUAAAUGUCUUUUAC
RNAcentral lists this long non-coding RNA (1168 nucleotides) under Brassica napus (rape). Its description in RNAcentral is "long non-coding RNA (BNAP_LNC011306)". Lineage: Eukaryota; Viridiplantae; Streptophyta; Magnoliopsida; Brassicales; Brassicaceae. The record is from RNAcentral.